GCGGCGAACGGGUGAGUAACACGUGAGUAAUCUGCCCCUGGCUUCGGGAUAGCCACCGGAAACGGUGAUUAAUACCGGAUAUGACAUGGACUCGCAUGGGUUUGUGUGGAAAGUUUUUCGGCCAGGGAUGUGCUCGCGGCCUAUCAGCUUGAUGGUGAGGUAAUGGCUCACCAUGGCUUCGACGGGUAGCCGGCCUGAGAGGGUGACCGGCCACACUGGGACUGAGACACGGCCCAGACUCCUACGGGAGGCAGCAGUGGGGAAUAUUGGACAAUGGGCGGAAGCCUGAUCCAGCAACGCCGCGUGAGGGAUGACGGCCUUCGGGUUGUAAACCUCUUUCAGUACCGACGAAGCGCAAGUGACGGUAGGUACAGAAGAAGCACCGGCCAACUACGUGCCAGCAGCCGCGGUAAUACGUAGGGUGCGAGCGUUGUCCGGAAUUAUUGGGCGUAAAGGGCUCGUAGGCGGUUUGUCGCGUCGGGAGUGAAAACGCCGUGCUUAACACGGCGCUUGCUUCCGAUACGGGCAGACUAGAGGUAUUCAGGGGAGAACGGAAUUCCUGGUGUAGCGGUGAAAUGCGCAGAUAUC
Molecule: ribosomal RNA, 588 nt
Filed under: uncultured Actinomycetes bacterium
Lineage: Bacteria; Bacillati; Actinomycetota; Actinomycetes
Description: bacterial SSU rRNA
Rfam family: Bacterial small subunit ribosomal RNA
Source: RNAcentral